Molecule: long non-coding RNA, 385 nt
Organism: Hibiscus syriacus
Lineage: Eukaryota; Viridiplantae; Streptophyta; Magnoliopsida; Malvales; Malvaceae
Exons: 3
Source: RefSeq, a predicted model, not a curated record
AUGGACUUGAUCGGAGUUCGAAGGUUCUUGGACAAACUACCAUUGGUACCUUCUUCAUGGUUUAGUUUGGUUUGAUAAUCAAGCUGGUGACGAUGCAUUUGAAUCAGACAUCAAGUGCAAAGGAAAUUGCCAAACUUAAGGUUUUUAGCUUCCAUAAAUUAUUGUGCAAACUAAGUUAGGAUCUUGGAUUAUGAUGUUGGCAUAUGUCCAUUAUGGCUGGACGUACCGCAGUAAUCAGCUGCUAAUGGUUCUCGACCCGUAUUCAGUAUGGCAGAUUUUGCCAUUAUCUAUUAUCUUCCCCUGUUUUGCUAUUCCUGGAUGUAUAGUUGAACUGAAGAACGAAUCCUCUGCACAUAAGUGCUUGAAUACCUUGACCCAGGACGAC